UAGGGAAUCUUCGGCAAUGGACGAAAGUCUGACCGAGCAACGCCGCGUGAGUGAAGAAGGUUUUCGGAUCGUAAAGCUCUGUUGUUAGAGAAGAACAAGGACGUUAGUAACUGAACGUCCCCUGACGGUAUCUAACCAGAAAGCCACGGCUAACUACGUGCCAGCAGCCGCGGUAAUACGUAGGUGGCAAGCGUUGUCCGGAUUUAUUGGGCGUAAAGCGAGCGCAGGCGGUUUCUUAAGUCUGAUGUGAGAGCCCCCGGCUCAACCGGGGAGGGUCAUUGGAAACUGGGAGACUUGAGUGCAGAAGAGGAGAGUGGAAUUCCAUGUGUAGCGGUGAAAUGCGUAGAUAUAUGGAGGAAAACCAGUGGCAAAGGCGGCUCUCUGGUCUGUAACUGACGCUGAGGCUCGAAAGCGUGGGGAGCAAACAGG
Molecule: ribosomal RNA, 429 nt
Filed under: Chloroflexota bacterium
Lineage: Bacteria; Bacillati; Chloroflexota
Description: Chloroflexi bacterium partial 16S ribosomal RNA
Rfam family: Bacterial small subunit ribosomal RNA
Source: RNAcentral